This 4081-nucleotide long non-coding RNA is filed under the name Homo sapiens (human). RNAcentral's name for it is "HSALNT0240200". The record is from RNAcentral. Lineage: Eukaryota; Metazoa; Chordata; Mammalia; Primates; Hominidae.
AUUGAGCCAAGACUGCGCCACUGUACUCCAGCCUUGGUGACAGAGCGAGACUCCAUCUCAAAAAAAAAAAAAAAAAAAAGAAUCCCUUUCUGUCUGACCCCCACCAGACGGCAGCAGAAUUGUGUGGAGAGCUUGUUCCCGAGGGACCUGGGGGAUGGAGCAGGCAAUCCCUUCUCCCUCUGACCUCCAGGCCCCACUGAGCCCUCUGGACACAAGCACAAUCAGGCACUUCAUGCCUGGCAAGGGUCAGAAUGAAAGGCCUGUGUCUGUCUGCUCCCCGCCUCCCUUUCUCCAUCUUCAGAUAAUUCCAUCUGCCCUUGGGCCAGAGCCUCAUCUUUCUCCCUCCUUUCCCCCUCCUGCCCGCUGAGUUAUUUACAAAUAUCUGGGAACAGAAGGGAUUUCUUCAGUGCUCUGUAGUGCCUGCCACUGACUCAGGUCUCUAACAUGCUGGGGGGCAGCGAGGGUAAAGAUGCUUGUGGUCCUCUCCUGUCACCCACAGGAACCCAAAGAGCUCAAUACACUGGGCGCAGUGGCUCAUGCCUGUAAUCCUAGUAUUUUGGGAGGCUGAGGUGGGAGGAUCACCUGAGGUCAGGAGUUCAAGACCAGCCUGGCCGACAUAAUGAAACCCCAUCUCUACAAAAAUUAGCCAGGCGUGGUGGUACGUGCCUGUAAUCCCAGCUACUUGGGAGGCUGAGGCAGGAGAAUCACUUGAACUCAGGAAGUGGAGGCUGCAGUGAGCUGAGAUAACACCACUGCACUCCAGUCUGGGCAACAGAGAGAGACUCCAUCUCAGAAAAAAAAAAAAAAGGCUCAUGCCUGUAAUCCCAGCACUUUGGGAGGCCGAGGUGGGCGGAUCAAGAGGUCAGGAGAUCGAGACCAGCCUGGCCAACAUGGUGAAACCCCAUCUCUACUAAAAAUAAAAAAAAAUUAGCUGGGCACGGUGGCAGGUGCCUGUAGUCCCAGCUACUUGGGAGGCUGAGGCAGGAGAAUGGCGUGAACCCGGGAGGCGGAGCUUGCAGUGAGCUGAGAUCGCUCCAGCCUGGGUGACAGAGCGAGACUCCGUCUCAAAAAAAAAAAAAAAAAAAAAAAAGACCUUGGCCUUGGCUAGACACGGUGUAAUCCCAGCACUUUGGGAGGUGAGGCCGAGGCGGGCGGAUCACCUGAUGUCAGGAGUUUGAGACCACUCUGGCCAAGAUGGUGAAACCCCAUCUGUACUGAAAAUACAAAAAUUAGCUGGGCAUGGUGGUGAGUGCCUGUAAUCCCAGCUACUCAGGAGGCUGAGGCAGAGAAUUGCUUGAACCCGGGAAGUGGAGGUUGCAGUGAGCUGAGAUGGCGCCACUGCACUCCAGCCGGGGCGACAAAGCAAGACUCUGUCUCAAAAAAAAAAAAAAAGAAAAAGAAGAGCUCAAUGGCUCCCCAAGGUCACACCGUGGCAGCCCAUUUUCUGUUUCCCACUCUGUUCUCCUACAUGGUUUGUCCCGGGUACAGGGUGAACCAGGAAGAGGAUGAGUUACCGCCAUUUCCCCAUGGAGUCAAAGGGCUUCUUCCUCCUGGAAAAUCCCCGGACACGGAAGUGACUAAGACCUAGUGGAGCUGCUGAACCUAAAAAGUGAACACUCCAGGUCAGCCGGGAGCUCUCACAGCCAUUCGGGGACCAGGCUCCUUCCAUGUGCUGCUGUGCUGCCCCCUAGGGCCCUGCCAGUGACUCAGGACCGAAGCUGAGUGACUGCCAUGCCGGGUUCCAGCCAGCAGGAAGGGCAAGGGAGUGUGGGGCGGGCAGGCCCAGGGUCUUAAAGCCCAGGCUGGGAGAGGCACACACCCCUUCCCCUUCGCAGCCCAGUGGUGGGAAUUAAAUCACAUAGUCAUACCUGACCGCAAAGGGGCUGGGAAAUGUGCCUACCCAGUUGGCACAGGGAGCUCAGAUUUGGGUGGACAAUGAGCAGUGGUCACCAGAGCCCCCAGAGCCUCCCCCUCUCUCCCUCCUCUCCACCCUCUCUCUCCCCACUCUCUCCCUGGCCAUUCCUCCCCAGCCCCCGCCUUUUUUUGUUGUUUUUUUUUUUUGAGACAAAGCCUCCCUCUUUUGCCCACCACAGGCUGGAGUGCAGUGGCAUGAUCAUGGCUCACUGCUUCCUCGACCUCCUGGGCUCAAGUGAUCCACCUCAACCUCCCACAAAGCUGGGACUACAGGCACGAACCACCAUGCCCAGCUAAUUUUUUUUUUUUUUUUAAUUUUUAGUAGAGACAAAAUCUGACUAUGUUGACCAGGCUGGUCUCAAACUCCUGGGCUCAAGUGAUCCGUACUCCUUGCCCUCCCAAAGUGCUGGGAUUACAGGCGUGAGCUGCCACGGCACUUGGCUCCCCUUUGUAAAUGUGCCCCAGGGCUCUGUUCUUGGCCCUUUUCUCACCCCACAUGCAUGCCUUGGCCAUUCCCGUCCAAUCCUGUCUGAUGCCCUAAAGCCUCCCUACCUCCAGCUCAGGCCUCUCUCAGCCACAAACCCACGCAGGCAACAGGGCCAAAUCUGGGACUCAAGCCACACUCCUCCUCUGCCUCACCCCACAUUCAAUCUGUCACCAAAGCUGGUGAGUCUACCUUGUAAGGACCCCCUCACCGAGACUGUCCUCUCCUUCUCCCCGCCGACCCCGCCCCCGAAUGGGUUCUCACAGCCUCCACCCCUGCCCCCCUGCCUCUACCCCCAGGGACUCCACACCAGCCUCCCAUGAAUCAUGAAAUGUGAGUAUUCACCCUGCCUGUUCCUGAGCCCUCUUCUCUCACAGUCUGAUUGGGUCACCCUUCAGGGGCUCCCUCUUGUCUUCAGAAUCAACUCCUUACCCUAACAUAUAAGACCUUUUGUGAUCUGACCUCGGUCUACUUCAUCUCUUGUCACAUGUACCCUGUGCUCCAGCCACUCAAAUCUUGGCACUUUUGUGUGUGCUCUGCCCCAGUGCCUCCCGGCCUUCACUUCAGGGAUUCCUAUAUCCUUGAAGACUCAAUUCAGAGAGCUCCUUCUCUGAGAAGCCCCCUCUGAUGCCCUGAUGCUCUUCCCACAUGCUCCACUGUUCCCUCAACCUCACCAGUCUCCACCUCUAUGCCUGUCUUGUCCUGAUUGCUCACUUACCUCUCUCCCCUGCUAGGUGGUGAGCUGUCGGAGAGCAAUAUGAGGUUUUAGUUAUUUCUCAUCUCCAGUCCUUAGCCCAUUGUUGGAGACAGUUAACGCUUAACGCUUGAGAAAUGUUAGCUCCUUUCUCUUCUCCUUUAAAACUGUGACACAAAGGCUGGGCACAGAAGCUCACGCCUGUAAUCCCAGCACUUUGAGAGGCCAAAGCGGGUGGAUCACUGGAGGUCAGGAGUUCGAGACCAGCCUGGUCAACAUGGCAGAACCCCGUCUCUACUAAAAAUACAAAAAUUAGCCAGGCGUGAUGGCUCACACCUGUAAUUCCAGCUACUCGGGAGGCUGAGGCAGGAGAAUUGCUUGAACCUGGGAGGCAGAGGUUGCAAUGAGCUGAGAUCACUCCACUGCACUCCAGCCUGGGCAACAGAGCGAGACUCUGUCUCAAACAAACAAACAACAACAAUAAAAACUGUAACACGUAGCUUUAUACAUAAAACUAAAAUCUGGAAACAGCCCAAACAUCCAUCAACAGGAAAACAUAUACAUUGCAGAAUAUUCAUUCAAUCAAAUACUACACGGUGAUAAAAUGAGUUAACUACAGCUUCAUGCAACAGCAUGAAUGAAUCCCAUGCAUAAUGUUGAACAAAAGAAGCCAGACCCAAAAACGUACCUUCCAUUCUUAUGAGGGUCAAAAACAAGCCGAACGGAUCUUCGGUGACAGAGGCCGGCAUGGUGGUCAUCUCCGGGUCAGGAGAUCAACUGGGAGCAGGCCUCACACAGCCUCCCAAAGGCUGGAAGUGUUGCUUAUCUAGGUCUGGGUGGCGAUCACACAGGUAAUGUACAUGUGUAAUGAUCAUCAAGCUGAAAUUCUGGUGCAUUUUAGAGUAGGUAACUUCCCUCUGUUUGUUUAAGUGCCAUGAUUUUGUAAUAAAUCAUCGUGGAAGCCGGGUAGAGUGGCUCAUGCCUGUAAU